Long non-coding RNA from Girardinichthys multiradiatus, 484 nucleotides. RefSeq lists it as uncharacterized. The transcript has 3 exons. The record is from RefSeq and is a predicted model, not a curated record. Lineage: Eukaryota; Metazoa; Chordata; Actinopteri; Cyprinodontiformes; Goodeidae.
GGUUCGACUACCGGCUGGGGGUCUUUCUGCAUGGAGCCUACAUCCACAGAAGAUCUGUGUUUAGUUCUCCAAGAUGUUUGGAACAACCUACCAGUCGAGCUCCUUCAAAAACUGUGCUUUACUGCAAGUGUAACUAGAAGAAUUCAUGCUGUUUUGAAGGAAAAGAGUGGUCAUUUUUUCACACCUGCCUAAAACGUUUGCACAGUAAUAAACCCGAUGCAGACGCAGAGGAGGAAGAUGAAACCGAGGACUGAUCCAACUGUUGCACCAACAAUCACUCCAACCUUAUUGGCUGAAAUCAUGACACAAAUUGAAAACACAGUUUGCUUCAAAACAUCUGCAGUUCAAAUACAGGCUUAUCUGUAGAAGUUUUCCUCACCCUUCACAUCCAGCAUGACCUCAACAGGCUCCAUGAAAACUUCGGGAAUGAGGACCUGACACACAUAGCGGCCGGAGUCAGACUCCUGAGUGUUGUUGAUGUACA